CCUACGGGAGGCAGCAGUGGGGAAUAUUGGGCAAUGGAGGAAACUCUGACCCAGCAACGCCGCGUGAAGGAUGAAGGUUUUCGGAUUGUAAACUUCUGUUGCGAGGGAUGAAGAAUGACGGUACCUCGUGAGGAAGCCCCGACAAACUACGUGCCAGCAGCCGCGGUAAUACGUAGGGAGCAAGCGUUGUCCGGAAUUACUGGGCGUAAAGGGCGCGUAGGUGGGCGCUUAAGUCAGGUGUGAAAACUCCGGGCUCAACCUGGAGACUGCACUUGAAACUGGGUGUCUUGAGGGCAGGAGAGGAAAGUGGAAUUCCUAGUGUAGCGGUGAAAUGCGUAGAUAUUAGGAGGAACACCAGUGGCGAAGGCGACUUUCUGGACUGUACCUGACGCUGAGGCGCGAAAGCGUGGGUAGCGAACGGGAUUAGAUACCCUUGUAGUC
RNAcentral lists this ribosomal RNA (441 nucleotides) under uncultured bacterium. RNAcentral's name for it is "partial 16S ribosomal RNA". It matches the Rfam family "Bacterial small subunit ribosomal RNA", at positions 338 to 795 of the family's 1533-position model. The record is from RNAcentral.